RNAcentral lists this ribosomal RNA (330 nucleotides) under uncultured bacterium. RNAcentral describes it as "bacterial SSU rRNA". It matches the Rfam family "Bacterial small subunit ribosomal RNA", at positions 30 to 361 of the family's 1533-position model. The record is from RNAcentral.
AUUGAACGCUGGCGGCAUGCCUUACACAUGCAAGUCGAACGGCAGCACGGGAGCAAUCCUGGUGGCGAGUGGCGAACGGGUGAGUAAUAUAUCGGAACGUGCCCAGUCUGGGGAUAACGUAGCGAAAGCUACGCUAAUACCGCAUACGAUCUAUGGAUGAAAGCGGGGGAUCGCAGACCUCGCGCGAUUGGAGCGGCCGAUAUCAGAUUAGGUAGUUGGUGAGGUAAAGGCUCACCAAGCCGACGAUCUGUUAGCUGGUCUGAGAGGACGACCGAGCCACACUGGGACUGAGACACGGCCCAGACUCCUACGGUAGGCAGCAGUGGGGAA